Molecule: long non-coding RNA, 453 nt
Organism: Carassius gibelio (silver crucian carp)
Lineage: Eukaryota; Metazoa; Chordata; Actinopteri; Cypriniformes; Cyprinidae
Exons: 3
Source: RefSeq, a predicted model, not a curated record
GGACGACAGAGCGCAAGAGACUAUAUUUUACAUUUGUUUGGAAAACUUUAUGAGUGCGCGCAAAGCGAAAGGAAACAUGAGUCAUGAAGAGACACAGGAGGAAAGAGAUUAUAUUAAACCUGGAAAAUAUUUUAGAAGAUCAAUUAAGUUUUCAGGAGCACAUUAAAUACAGAACGAUGUAAAAGACAACUUGACUACACCAACAUAUCAAAAAUCGAAUGAGAUGCGCUCUUUUUAAAAGAGUUGAUUUAAUGACAAAAUCAAUAUGAGAGGUCAUGGACAUGUUCCCAUUUCUUCGGGUUCCACAACUUCUGCUGCAUGAAGUGAAGAUGCGGUUUGGGAAGGACCUUCAUCUUAAUCUAGAGACUGCUCUUCAAGUUCUGAACAGUUUAAAUUAGGUUAAAUUUAUGCAUUUAGCAGACGUGACUAACAGUGCAUUCAGGCUAUCAAUUU